Molecule: transfer RNA, 72 nt
Filed under: Bos taurus (domestic cattle)
Lineage: Eukaryota; Metazoa; Chordata; Mammalia; Artiodactyla; Bovidae
Also listed under: 5 other names
Rfam family: tRNA
About the family: Transfer RNA (tRNA) molecules are approximately 80 nucleotides in length.
Source: Rfam by way of RNAcentral
UCCCUGGUGGCUCAGAGGGUAAAGCAUCUGCCUGCAAUGCGGGAGACCCGGGUUCGAUCCCUGGGUCGGGAA